RNAcentral lists this ribosomal RNA (785 nucleotides) under uncultured Chloroflexota bacterium. RNAcentral's name for it is "bacterial SSU rRNA". It matches the Rfam family "Bacterial small subunit ribosomal RNA", at positions 9 to 795 of the family's 1533-position model. The record is from RNAcentral. Lineage: Bacteria; Bacillati; Chloroflexota.
GAGUUUGAUCCUGGCUCAGGACGAACGCUGGCGGUGCGCCUAAUGCAUGCAAGUCGAACGGUCCCGGUUCGCUUCGGCUUAUCGGAACAGGGGCGGACGGCUGAGUAACACGUAAGUGACCUAUCCCGGAGAGGGGGAUAAUUCCGAGAAAUCGGGCCUAAUACCCCGUACGAUCUCUUUCAACACGUUGGAGGGGAUGAAAGGUCCUCGCUUCGGCGGGUGCCGCUCUGGGAGGGGCUUGCGGCCUAUCAGGUUGUUGGUGAGGUAACGGCCCACCAAGCCAUCGACGGGUAGCCGGUGUGAGAGCACGACCGGCCAGAGGGGGACUGAGACACGGCCCCCACUCCUACGGGAGGCAGCAGCAGGGAAUCUUGCGCAAUGGGCGAAAGCCUGACGCAGCGACGCCGCGUGAGGGAAGAAGGCCUGCGGGUCGUAAACCUCUUUUCUCGGGGAAGAUAGUGACGGUACCCGAGGAAUAAGCAUCGGCUAACUACGUGCCAGCAGCCGCGGUAAUACGUAGGAUGCAAGCGUUGUCCGGAUUUACUGGGCGUAAAGGGUGUGUAGGCGGCAUAGUAAGUCUCAUGUGAAAUCUCCCGGCUCAACUGGGAGGGGUCAUGGGAAACUGCUAAGCUGGAGGGCAGCAGAGGAAAGCGGAAUUCCGGGAGUAGUGGUGGAAUGCGUAGAUACCCGGAGGAACACCAGAGGCGAAGGCGGCUUUCUGGGCUGUACCUGACGCUGAGACACGAAAGCGUGGGGAGCAAACCGGAUUAGAUACCCUGGUAGUC